RNAcentral lists this transfer RNA (63 nucleotides) under Rattus norvegicus (Norway rat). It matches the Rfam family "tRNA". From Rfam's summary of the family: Transfer RNA (tRNA) molecules are approximately 80 nucleotides in length. Their secondary structure includes four short double-helical elements and three loops (D, anti-codon, and T loops). The record is from Rfam by way of RNAcentral. Lineage: Eukaryota; Metazoa; Chordata; Mammalia; Rodentia; Muridae.
GGGGAUUUAGCUCAGCGGUAGAGCACUUGCCUAGCAAGCGCAAGGCCAUGGGUUCAGUCCCCA